GAUGUGAAAAGAAAGAAAAAGAGACAGAGGAGUAGUGUGUUCUUUUUCGGUAUGCCAAAAUCUAACCAUUUUCUUCUGGCUCUGUUGUGGUAUAGUAACAGAUCUCUUAGCCUCCAACAUAUCCUUUGGCUCCAUAUCAUUUGAUUCAUCGUUGUUUUCCUUAACAUGUUCACUAGCUGCAUCUUUUACACCAGAAACUUCAGGUUCUGGAACAUUAUUGUCGUCAGGUAUGAUAUUCUCAUUUUCUACAAUUGGAUAUUCUAUCUUCAAUCCGUCAACCUCCUCGUCUGAUUGUUGUUGAAGCUUCAUGACUUUUCUUGGAUAAUCCUGAAAAUUCAAACCUGAUAUUUCAUUUUGCCCUGAUCCUCUCACAUCUUGUGAGACAAAAUUUUCAGAAGUUUCUGUCUCCUUAAGGGAUUUAAAAUCCAGUGUUUCCAUUUGUGGAAGAAAUUUUGCCACAUUUUUCAUUUCUUCAUGAAAUUCAGCAGUGAUGCAUGGGUCAUCAACCAUCUUUCUGUGAUUGUCUUCUAUUGUCAUAUCUGAAUCCACUAUUUUCGUGAUCUGCUUUAAGAAACUUAGUUAGUAGGAGCUCUAAUGCUUGCAUGUUUAUAAAUGAGAAAAGCGUGUUAGAUUUCUAGAAAUUUGUUUAGCAUUGUGUCUUUUGAAUAAGAAAAUGUUUAAUAAAACUGUAGACAAGGUAAAUGUUACCUGUUCUUGAGGACUUAAAUUAUCUGUUGCAUCACAAGCAUGAAUUUGCUCAUUAGAACUGAAUGGUCCCACUUCCUCAACUGCUUUACGAGCCCUAUCCUUAUUUUUCUCAAAUUUUUCUUCGAGGUCUGCACGAUUUAGUUGUUCUCCUUGUCUUUGUUCAUCAGUACAUGUAUCUUUAUCUGCUAUUUCAAGCUCAUCUGGAACCAUAUAAAUGGGGUUUUUGGCUUCCACAUCCUCCAACUUCUGACUUUCUGAAACACUUUUUACAGUGGUUUUUUCUUUGAUAUUUUCCUCGUUAUACUCACUGGUAGUGGCUGCUUCAUAAACUUUCAUGUCUGGUUGUAUAUUAUCUUCCUCUUUGUCUUCAUCUUCCUCUGAUUCUAAUCUUGUUUCAUCUUCCUGGUCCUCAUUAUUUUCUGCGUCCAUUACUGACUUAUUUUCCUUGUUAAUCUCAUCCAUUGCAUAAAAAAUGUUGAGGACAUUUUCAGUUUCCACAUCCUUCAUGCUUUCAACCUGUGAGCCACUUUCUUUAAUUUUCUUCUCUUGUGUUCUGUCCUCAAUGCACUCAUUUGUGUAGAUUUUCCCAGAAACUUUCACCUCAGGAGGGUUUAAAUAAUUUCUUUCCUCUUCCUCGUUUUUUGUUUUGUUAGAUGGCAAGCACUUGUCAACUUCCUGCUCUUUUCUGUUUUCAUUCUCCAACAAAGCUGUUUCCUUUGUUUCAUUAUCUUCUCUUGAAACAUUUUGAUGAGCUUCGGAAGUUACUUCAGCGAUGUUUAUCUGAAUGGUAUUCAUAUCUGAAGCUUCCAUUGUACAUAAAGAAUCUUCUCUUGUAUCAGAAAUGUUUUCAUCACAAGAUGGCUCGACUUCAACAAGUCCUGUCUCAGUUGUUGUCUCUAACUUUCCAUGUGCUGAAGAUUCAGUGUGUUUAAACUGCAUUAAAAAAUAUACCACCUGAGAUGUUAAUAAUGUGAUGUGACAGACAAAUGUAAAGAGUAGGAACACUCCAAAACUGAUGCCUACAUUGGCAUGUUGCAAUUCAACCUUUUCAUCAAUGUUUUUGACUGCUUCCUGAUCUUUUGUAGUUUUUCUUACUACAUGCUGACUUGUAGUGGUUAAUUCAGAUUCUGUAGCUUGAAACUCCAUUUUCUGUGUCAUUCUGCAAUCCUGCCCAGAACAUUGAAAUAUUAACUGUUACAUGAGUGGUAUACUAUAACAAAGGGAAAUGUUAGAAUAAUUAUUUCAAAAGGCUGCUCCGUUCUUUUCCUUUGCACUAAGUUGGUCCAAUUUUAAUGCUACCACUACAUACAUUUUUAGCAUGACUUACAUCAUCUUGUGCUAUCACAACUUUAGCAGGAUCUGUUUCAGUUAUAGCUUCCAAAUUUUGCUGUACAGAAGUUAAAUUGAAGGAAGCCUGUGUAACAAGGUUAACAUGAAAACAAUGAUGAGGCAAAGGAUGACUUAAAAGGAAGAGAAUGAACUGAUUUCUAGGUUCUUAUCAAAGCAACCUCCUGCUUUAUAUUCUCAUUCCCCAUUGCUAUGUCUUCUUUGAUCUCUGGUUUUCUCUGGCUUUGUAGCCUUUUGGAUUCUGCUUCAUCAGUCAGUCAAUGUACCCUUAGCAGGUUUAUCACUUAAAAUGUCAUUUAUGCUCUCCCAGUUGUCAUUGGUCACACUAUGAUCUGCAUCCUUCUGAAGUAUGAUUUUCAGAUUUUGCAACAGAAUUAGUGACCAUUUUGUGCUAAAAGAAAACAACUAUCUCUUUGGACCAGUUUGGAUGAUAAAAUCUCUUAUGUUAAUACUAGUUCCCCUUUGACAAUUAUGCAAUAAUGAAAGGGCAUAUGGAACAAGGUAAAGGUCAACUUGGCCUUUUUAAUAAAGAUUCAAUGCUAUGUAAAAGUCGAUGAUACUUUUGCACAAGCUGGAUGUUAUGCUUACAAGUAACCAUUAGUCUAGAACAGUAAUUUUUAAUUGCUGAACAAUUCAACUUAUCAGUAAUUUGUAAUUGCUGAACAAUUCAACUUGAACCACAAGAGACAAAGACUAUCUAUCAUGAGGUAGUGAAAAAGAAAAAAAAAAAGAAAAGCAAGGCAGCCCAGUGCAAGUGACACAUCAAUGCGGGUCUAAAAGGGUUAGUGUAAAGUUGUAAACCAUCUCACCUUUUCAGGCAGAAGGGUUGUUUCUAUAACUUAAAACCCUAGUCACCUAGUUUUAAGAGCAACAUGGCCAGUGAUGCCAAGGCUCACCCUUAUAUACAAUGAAGUUGUACUAUUUUCAUUAUGUCAGGUCUAAGAAAAUUUUUGCAGAGCGGCCAAAGACUAUACUGAUAUUGACUUACCAUGAAAAUCUAAUUUGUUCAAGUUUAUUACAUUCUAGGAGUAAACAGGUAGAGGACACCAAAUUGAUAGUAAUAUGUUGAAAGAGAUAUAUAGUCAAUUUCUCAACUUUGAUGAGCCUCUUUUUAUAUAUUCUUAUGUAGAAGGA
This 3189-nucleotide long non-coding RNA is filed under the name Musa acuminata (dwarf banana). Its description in RNAcentral is "long non-coding RNA (MACU_LNC000865)". Lineage: Eukaryota; Viridiplantae; Streptophyta; Magnoliopsida; Zingiberales; Musaceae. The record is from RNAcentral.